Non-coding RNA from Ictidomys tridecemlineatus (thirteen-lined ground squirrel), 330 nucleotides. The record is from RefSeq and is a predicted model, not a curated record. Lineage: Eukaryota; Metazoa; Chordata; Mammalia; Rodentia; Sciuridae.
AAAGGGCGUGUCCGUGGGCGAAGGUGCCCCCGCGUGCAUGCCGAAGCUCGUGACUUCGCGAAUCCCGGGCCGGGGCGGUGUCGGAGCCCCACCCCCGGCCGUCCAAGCCACUCCGCAACCAGACGUGGCGGCCAGGCUGGAGAGGGGCGGGGGACUGGGGGCUGGGUCCCCGCGGAACUUUCAGAUUGGAAGUGUGUUGGGUCUCCCAGAAACCCAGGUUUUCUUUUCGGAUUCUCCGCGAAGAGGUGGAGAAACAGGAUGGGAACCGGAUUGGUUGCACUGUGGCACGGAAUUGGAACCUUCCUGAAAGAGGUUGGGGCAGGCAGUGAC